GGAUUAGAUACCCUGGUAGUCCACGCCGUAAACGAUGUCAACUAGCCGUUGGGGGACUUGAUUCCUUAGUGGCGCAGCUAACGCGAUAAGUUGACCGCCUGGGGAGUACGGCCGCAAGGUUAAAACUCAAAUGAAUUGACGGGGGCCCGCACAAGCGGUGGAGCAUGUGGUUUAAUUCGAUGCAACGCGAAGAACCUUACCAGGUCUUGACAUCCUCGGAACUUUCCAGAGAUGGAUUGGUGCCUUCGGGAACCGAGUGACAGGUGCUGCAUGGCUGUCGUCAGCUCGUGUUG
This 293-nucleotide ribosomal RNA is filed under the name uncultured bacterium. RNAcentral describes it as "partial 16S ribosomal RNA". It matches the Rfam family "Bacterial small subunit ribosomal RNA", at positions 775 to 1067 of the family's 1533-position model. The record is from RNAcentral.